Molecule: long non-coding RNA, 1147 nt
Filed under: Vulpes vulpes (red fox)
Lineage: Eukaryota; Metazoa; Chordata; Mammalia; Carnivora; Canidae
Description: lncRNA (ENSVVUG00000006467.1)
Source: RNAcentral
UAUGCAAAGAGUUGCUCUAUGACAUAACAGUGACAGCCAACACUUCUGCAGCGCUUACCCCGUGCCAGGCUCUGUUCUCAGUACUUUCCUGUUUUGACCCACUUGAUCCAAACCACAGCUUGGAGAUAGUUUCGAUCAUUAUCACUUCCAUUGUGGACUUUAGAAAAUUGCAUCACAAAGAGUUCAAGUCACCUGCCUAAGCUGGUGGAAUUAGGCAGCACAGUUAGACUCAAACUAGGCCUCCAGGGUUGGAGGCUUACCUGCCACAACGUGCCAUCUUUCCAUGAGCCUAACAGGAUGGCAGGCAGGUGGCCUUGCUUCCCAGCAGUAACACUAACAAAGCUGCCAGCCCUUCAUCUCAUCACCACAAAACGGGGGUCCUGAGGGACCAUCCAAAUCCAGUGGACCUACACUGCCCUCCCCAGAGAAGCAUGCUUUAUAACAGUACCUGAAGGACCAUUCAGAGAAAUACCAGAACACACAGAGUUGCUGCUGACUUUUUUUGGAUACAUUAUGGAGUGGGAAGAAGAUAGGGUUUGACAGCUAGCUACAAACAAGAAGCUGGCAGUGGUCCUCAGGAGUGGGAAUAUGGUAUGAAGAUGCAACCAAUGGCUCUCCCACAUCUGAUAGAUUUAAAAGGGCAGUUAUAAGUAUGAUGAUUUACAUGGCAAACCUGGAAGCAAUUUUGGAUGUGGUAAUGGCUACAGGACUGGUGAAAAAGGGCCUGCUCAGAAAGACAGUGUGAAGAACAACUGGAAGGACCAGAGCUUCAGGUCCAGAUGCCAGGACUCACCAGGGAGUGAAGGAAAAGGAAGAGCAUGGAACAAUGCUAUAGUGAUGAUUCUGGGGACUGAAAAGAAUGACCUUUUUAUUUUUCUCAUUUACAAAUUUUGAAAGCUGAACGUGGAAAGUUCUUAGGUAAAAAUAAUUUCAUUUUAGAUUUGUGGAAUAUUAUUCCAUUCCUGCUUAGUAACUCUAAUUCAACCCAUUAAUUGGGCAAAGGAUGCUGUUCCUUAGGCUGAUGAACACAGGAUGCCCCAUGAGUCUUUUCAAGUAUAUGGACAAAAUCAUAUUUUCUGCAAUUCUAAGAUUUUAGAGACCAUCAAAAAUAAGCAAAAGCACUUAACAAUACAUAUUUAGACUACUG